Molecule: ribosomal RNA, 441 nt
Filed under: uncultured bacterium
Lineage: Bacteria
Description: partial 16S ribosomal RNA
Rfam family: Bacterial small subunit ribosomal RNA
Source: RNAcentral
CCUACGGGAGGCAGCAGUGGGGAAUAUUGCACAAUGGGGGAAACCCUGAUGCAGCGACGCCGCGUGAGUGAAGAAGUAUUUCGGUAUGUAAAGCUCUAUCAGCAGGGAAGAAGAAAGACGGUACCUGACUAAGAAGCCCCGGCUAACUACGUGACAGCAGCCGCGGGAAUACGUAGGGGGCAAGCGUUAUACGGAUUUACUGGGUGUAAAGGGAGCGUAGACGGCUGUGCAAGUCUGAAGGUAAAGCCCAGGGCUCAACCCUGGGACUGCCUUGGAAACUGUGGAGCUAGAGUGCUGGAGAGGUAAGUGGAAUUCGUGGUGUAGCGGUGAAAUGCGUAGAUAUUAGGAGGAACACCAGUGGCGAAGGCGGCUUACUGGACAGUAACUGACGUUGAGGCUCGAAAGCGCGGGGAGCAAACAGGAUUAGAUACCCCAGUAGUC